GACAUGGUAAGGAUUGACGGACUGAAGGCUCUUUCUCGAUUCCGUGGAAAGUGGUGCAUGGCCGUUUUUGGUUGGUGGAUCGAUCCGUCUGGUUAAUUCCGUUAACGAACGAGACCUCGGCACUCCGAAUAGCGCGGCGGACGUCGCGGCCUCCGGGCCGUCUUCCGCACGAGCUUCUUAGAGGGACCGUCCCCCGCCGGGGAAGGAGGUGCGAGGCAACGACAGGUCUGUGAUGCCCUUAGAUGUUCUGGGCCGCACGCGCAUUACACUGACGCGUCCAACGGGUGACUCCCGACCCGAAGGGGCCGGGGAAUCCGCAAGGCGCGUCGUGAUGGGGAUUGAACGUUGCAAUUGUUGUUCACGAACGAGGAAUUCCUAGUAGGCGCGGGUCAUCAACCCGCGCCGAUUACGUCCCUGCCCUUUGUACACACCG
RNAcentral lists this ribosomal RNA (433 nucleotides) under uncultured eukaryote. RNAcentral's name for it is "bacterial SSU rRNA". It matches the Rfam family "Eukaryotic small subunit ribosomal RNA", at positions 1227 to 1671 of the family's 1831-position model. The record is from RNAcentral.